This 802-nucleotide ribosomal RNA is filed under the name uncultured bacterium. Its description in RNAcentral is "bacterial SSU rRNA". It matches the Rfam family "Bacterial small subunit ribosomal RNA", at positions 8 to 809 of the family's 1533-position model. The record is from RNAcentral.
AGAGUUUGAUCCUGGCUCAGGAUGAACGCUGGCGGCGUGCCUAACACAUGCAAGUCGAACGAAGCACCCGCGCGGAUUCCCUCGGGAUGAAGCGCGGAUGACUGAGUGGCGGACGGGUGAGUCACGCGUGGGCAACCUGCCCCGUGCCGGGGGACAACAGCCGGAAACGGCUGCUAAUACCGCAUGAUCCGGGAGGGCCGCAUGGCCCUGCCGGGAAAGCUCCGGCGGCACGGGAUGGGCCCGCGUCUGAUUAGUUUGUUGGCGGGGUAACGGCCCACCAAGACUGCGAUCAGCAGCCGGCCUGAGAGGGCGGCCGGCCACAUUGGGACUGAGACACGGCCCAGACUCCUGCGGGAGGCAGCAGUGGGGAAUAUUGCACAAUGGGGGAAACCCUGAUGCAGCGACGCCGCGUGGGCGACGAAGCGCUCCGGCGCGUAAAGCCCUGUCAGCAGGGAAGAACAAAGACAGUACCUGACCAAGAAGCCCCGGCUAACUACGUGCCAGCAGCCGCGGUAAUACGUAGGGGGCAAGCGUUAUCCGGAUUCACUGGGCGUAAAGGGAGCGUAGACGGUGAUGCAAGUCUGGAGUGAAAGCCCGGGGCCCAACCCCGGGACUGCAUUGGAAACUGCCGGGCUGGAGUGCCGGAGGGGUAAGCGGAAUUCCUGGUGUAGCGGUGAAAUGCGCAGAUAUCAGGAAGAACACCGGUGGCGUAGGCGGCUUACUGGACGGCAACUGACGCUGAGGCUCGAAAGCGUGGGGAGCAAACAGGAUUAGAUACCCUGGUAGUCCACGCCGUAAACGA